UGGGUCUUGGGCAUUAUGCCCAUCUUGCC
Molecule: non-coding RNA, 29 nt
Filed under: Homo sapiens (human)
Lineage: Eukaryota; Metazoa; Chordata; Mammalia; Primates; Hominidae
Source: RNAcentral